RNAcentral lists this ribosomal RNA (1163 nucleotides) under Staphylococcus aureus. RNAcentral's name for it is "bacterial SSU rRNA". It matches the Rfam family "Bacterial small subunit ribosomal RNA", at positions 1 to 1144 of the family's 1533-position model. The record is from RNAcentral. Lineage: Bacteria; Bacillati; Bacillota; Bacilli; Caryophanales; Staphylococcaceae.
UUUUAUGGAGAGUUUGAUCCUGGCUCAGGAUGAACGCUGGCGGCGUGCCUAAUACAUGCAAGUCGAGCGAACGGACGAGAAGCUUGCUUCUCUGAUGUUAGCGGCGGACGGGGGAGUAACACGUGGAUAACCUACCUAUAAGACUGGGAUAACUUCGGGAAACCGGAGCUAAUACCGGAUAAUAUUUUGAACCGCAUGGUUCAAAAGUGAAAGACGGUCUUGCUGUCACUUAUAGAUGGAUCCGCGCUGCAUUAGCUAGUUGGUAAGGUAACGGCUUACCAAGGCAACGAUGCAUAGCCGACCUGAGAGGGUGAUCGGCCACACUGGAACUGAGACACGGUCCAGACUCCUACGGGAGGCAGCAGUAGGGAAUCUUCCGCAAUGGGCGAAAGCCUGACGGAGCAACGCCGCGUGAGUGAUGAAGGUCUUCGGAUCGUAAAACUCUGUUAUUAGGGAAGAACAUAUGUGUAAGUAACUGUGCACAUCUUGACGGUACCUAAUCAGAAAGCCACGGCUAACUACGUGCCAGCAGCCGCGGUAAUACGUAGGUGGCAAGCGUUAUCCGGAAUUAUUGGGCGUAAAGCGCGCGUAGGCGGUUUUUUAAGUCUGAUGUGAAAGCCCACGGCUCAACCGUGGAGGGUCAUUGGAAACUGGAAAACUUGAGUGCAGAAGAGGAAAGUGGAAUUCCAUGUGUAGCGGUGAAAUGCGCAGAGAUAUGGAGGAACACCAGUGGCGAAGGCGACUUUCUGGUCUGUAACUGACGCUGAUGUGCGAAAGCGUGGGGAUCAAACAGGAUUAGAUACCCUGGUAGUCCACGCCGUAAACGAUGAGUGCUAAGUGUUAGGGGGUUUCCGCCCCUUAGUGCUGCAGCUAACGCAUUAAGCACUCCGCCUGGGGAGUACGACCGCAAGGUUGAAACUCAAAGGAAUUGACGGGGACCCGCACAAGCGGUGGAGCAUGUGGUUUAAUUCGAAGCAACGCGAAGAACCUUACCAAAUCUUGACAUCCUUUGACAACUCUAGAGAUAGAGCCUUCCCCUUCGGGGGACAAAGUGACAGGUGGUGCAUGGUUGUCGUCAGCUCGUGUCGUGAGAUGUUGGGUUAAGUCCCGCAACGAGCGCAACCCUUAAGCUUAGUUGCCAUCAUUAAGUUGGGCACUCUAAG